CAUACUGCCGUGAAUACGUUCCCGGGCCUUGUACACACCGCCCGUCACACCAUGAGAGUUGGGGAUACCCGAAGCCUGUGAGCUAACAUUAUGAGGCAGCAGUCGAAGGUAGAAUCAAUGAUUGGGGUGAAGUCGUAACAAGGUAGC
This 147-nucleotide ribosomal RNA is filed under the name uncultured bacterium. RNAcentral's name for it is "partial 16S ribosomal RNA". It matches the Rfam family "Bacterial small subunit ribosomal RNA", at positions 1353 to 1500 of the family's 1533-position model. The record is from RNAcentral.